UGGGGAAUAUUGGACAAUGGGCGCAAGCCUGAUCCAGCCAUGCCGCGUGAGUGAUGAAGGCCCUAGGGCUGUAAAGCUCUUUCACCGGUGAAGAUAAUGACGGUAACCGGAGAAGAAGCCCCGGCUAACUUCGUGCCAGCAGCCGCGGUAAUACGAAUGGGGCUAGCGUUGUUCGGAUUUACUGGGCGUAAAGCGCACGUAGGCGGACUUUUAAGUCAGGGGUGAAAUCCCGGGGCUCAACCCCGGAACUGCCUUUGAUACUGGAAGUCUUGAGUAUGGUAGAGGUGAGUGGAAUUCCGAGUGUAGAGGUGAAAUUCGUAGAUAUUCGGAGGAACACCAGUGGCGAAGGCGGCUCACUGGACCAUUACUGACGCUGAGGUGCGAAAGCGUGGGGAGCAAACAGG
This 404-nucleotide ribosomal RNA is filed under the name Actinomycetes bacterium. RNAcentral describes it as "Actinobacteria bacterium partial 16S ribosomal RNA". It matches the Rfam family "Bacterial small subunit ribosomal RNA", at positions 355 to 776 of the family's 1533-position model. The record is from RNAcentral. Lineage: Bacteria; Bacillati; Actinomycetota; Actinomycetes.